UCGGGAAUAUUGCGCAAUGGAGGAAACUCUGACGCAGUGACGCCGCGUGCAGGAAGAAGGUUUUCGGAUUGUAAACUGCUUUAGACAGGGAAGAAAAAGGACAGUACCUGUAGAAUAAGCUCCGGCUAACUACGUGCCAGCAGCCGCGGUAAUACGUAGGGAGCAAGCGUUAUCCGGAUUUAUUGGGUGUAAAGGGUGCGUAGACGGGAGAGCAAGUUAGUUGUGAAAUCCCUCGGCUUAACUGAGGAACUGCAACUAAAACUAUUCUUCUUGAGUGCUGGAGAGGAAAGUGGAAUUCCUAGUGUAGCGGUGAAAUGCGUAGAUAUUAGGAGGAACACCAGUGGCGAAGGCGACUUUCUGGACAGUAACUGACGUUGAGGCACGAAAGUGUGGGGAGCAAACA
This 403-nucleotide ribosomal RNA is filed under the name uncultured bacterium. Its description in RNAcentral is "bacterial SSU rRNA". It matches the Rfam family "Bacterial small subunit ribosomal RNA", at positions 355 to 774 of the family's 1533-position model. The record is from RNAcentral.